RNAcentral lists this ribosomal RNA (4062 nucleotides) under Triticum aestivum (bread wheat). RNAcentral describes it as "partial small subunit ribosomal RNA". Lineage: Eukaryota; Viridiplantae; Streptophyta; Magnoliopsida; Poales; Poaceae. The record is from RNAcentral.
AUGGGGGAUGGAAUUGUCCUGGAGCGCAUACUCUCCGGAUCUGAGAAACCAACCAAUCUGGCAUUAGCACUUUUACAGGAGAUUACAGAAAAUUUCUCUGAAAUGAGAAAAAUUGGCGAGGGCGGAUUUGGGGUGGUUUACAAGGGUGUGCUCCACAGUAGGAUUGUUGCCGUGAAGAGGAUAAUUAUGAGUGAACACACAAUCAACGACAGGUUAUUUGAUCGUGAGGUUAAAAGCUUGAUGAAGAUUAUUAGCCAUCGAAAUGUAGUCCGCUUUCUUGGCUUUUGUUCAAAUACACAUCGUGAAGCGAUAAAAGAGGCAGGAUCAACAGAAUUGGUUAUGGCCCAGAUAAGAGAAAGAUUACUUUGUUUUGAGUAUAUCAGCAAUGGAAGCCUUGAUAAACAUAUUACAGAUGAAUUAAGAGGACUUAAAUGGAGUAUACGGUAUGAAAUAAUUAAAGGAAUUUGUCAUGGUUUGCAUUACCUUCACGAGGAAAAUAAUAUUAUCCAUAUGGACCUCAAACCUAGCAAUAUAAUGAUAAAUGAUGAUAUGGUGCCAAAGAUAACAGAUUUUGGUCUAUCAAGACUUGAUAAACACACACACACCAGUGGUGCCCGUUUUAUAACACAGGGAUACUGUGCUCCAGAAUACGUGAAUGGUGGCAAGACGUCAAAAAAGGCUGACAUGUAUAGUUUGGGUGUUAUAAUCACGGAACUGGUAACGGGAUGUAGGGGUGAUCCAAAUAAUGUUAAUGUGCUUCGAAGGUGGAUACACAGGUGGGAUAAAUCACCGAAAGAUACGGUGCUGUCCCAAUACCAGCAAGUAACUAAAUGUUUGAAAAUUGCGGCACACUGCAGGAAAAAAGAACCAUCAAAUAGACCUUUUAUAUUGGAUAUAAUUUGUAUUCUCAAUGAAACUGAAGAAAACAUGAAUGAGCACAUUGACCAGAGAAACAAGAGAGUAUGUAGAGAGAUUGUGAGGUGGAAGAAGAAGCGGCGCUGCCAGAUACACCUUUACUCGGAUGACAUGCUUGGAAUUAUGCCGCUCGAACUACGGUUUCCUUUUGAGCUUCAUAAGUCAAUAUCAUCCAUAGUUGAGCUAAUCAACAAGACAAAAGGUUACUACGCCUUCAACAUCGAUACGCCAAGCCGACAAUACUGCACACAACCAAACAAAGGCAUUGUGUCACCACAAUCCAAGUUUGCUAUCCAAAUAACAAUGCAAGCACGGGAGAAUACACCACACGGUAUGCCAUACACCGACGUGUUUCUUGUGCAGAGCACAAAAGUCAACAGGGAGGUCAAAGCCGAGGAUAUCACUGAACACAUGUUCAUUAUAGAGCCGGAUGGACUAGAUGAGGUGAAUUUGACGGUUGUGGUAUAUGAUCCCGAGGAACCUAGGGGAGAUAUGAAGAUUCGAGAUGACACCAAGAAGAAAAAGAAUAAGAUUGUUGAGUAUGCUUUUAGCGAGAUCAAACCCAACAUCAAUGCAACUCAUCAAGAAGAGGCAGUUCCGAUGGGCAACAAUUCUAUUAGCUACAAAGAUACACGACGACAAUUUCCCAAGCAACUAGAGUGCCUUAGCUUCCACACAACUCCAAGUAUUUUGGGCAACCAACACAGCAAUAUGAGCAACAGAAUUGUGGAUCUUGCAACCGGGGCCAUGGGCAGCCUGCGCCACAAGCUUGGCGAUCUCCUCAACAAAGAGUACAAUCUAGAGAUAAGCGUGAAGAUAGACAUAGAGUCUUUAUCAGAAGAGCUGAGGGAGAUGCAGCUAGCCUUGUGCAAGGUGUCGGAGGUACAUCGGGACUACCUCGAUGACAAGGUCAAGCGCUGGGCUGACAGUGUCAGGGAGAUGUCAUAUGACAUUGAGGAUGUUGUUGAUGGAUUCCUGGUACACAUUGGGCAUGCCUCUGACAUGGGCCUCUUCAUGGGGCUCAUGCAUAGGAUGUUCAACCUCUUCACGUGGGGCAAGACUCACAAUCCGAUUGAAGACGCUAUCAAAGACAUCAAGAAACAAGUUCAGGUUGUGGCUGAUAGACGUGAAAGAUGCAAGGUUGAUGAAGUCAUGGCUAAUGUAGCUGACACUAUUACCUUUGAUCCUCGCAUUUUGGCUAUAUACAAAGAUCCAAAGGAGCUCGUUGGCAUCAAAGAGCCAAGAAACAAGCUAAUCAGGUGGCUCUCUAAUAAGGAUGGGGAUGGGAAUGUCUCAAAACCGCAACUCAAGAUAGUUUCGAUCGUCGGAUUUGGAGGAUUGGGCAAGACAACACUUGCCAAGGCAGUGUAUGACGAGCUUCAAUCCCAAUUCCAACAUAGAGCUUUUGUUUCAGUGGGUCGGAAUCCUAAUGUGAAGAAACUUUUUGAGCAUAUUCUAGAUAAAUUUGGCUAUGGUUCCAAGGAAGCAAAGUUAAACGAAAUGCAGCUCAUCGACAAAAUGCGAAGAUUGCUUCAGAACGACAGGUACUUCAUAGUAAUCGAUGAUAUAUGGGAUUCCCCGACGUGGAAUGUUAUUAAAUGUGCUUUUACAAAAGACGAUUGUGGCAGUAUUGUGACAUGCCUGCUUGAUAUUGGUAAGUAUCUAGAGGAUAGCGAGAUAAAAAAAGAGGAUUUGUUGAGGCAGUGGACAGCUCAAGGCUUUGUGAGUAAAACUCGUCUGCGUGAUGCAGAGGAUGUCGCAGAAGACUACUUCUAUAAGCUCAUCAACAUGAGCAUGAUCCAACCCGUGGAGAUAGACUACAAUGAUGAGGUGUUGUCUUGCAGAGUACAUGAUAUAAUGCUUGAUCUCAUUAGAUCCAAGGCUGCUGAAGAGAAUUUUAAUCUUGUUAUUGAUGGGCCAGAAGUUGUGACAGGAGAACAAAGAAGGGUCCGUCGAGUCUCCAUUCAGUACAAUGGUGAAGACGAUGGCGGAAUACUGGCAGCAAUCAAUGGGUCACUAUCACAUGUCCGGUCAGUCUUACUUUUAAGAGGGUCUCUUGUGCAUUCUUUUCUGGUGCUGAAGUUUAUCCGAGUUCUUUACAUUAUAGAUUGGAGAUGUGAGAGACUAGAUCUCACCGAUAUUCGUUGGUUGUUUCUACUAAGAUAUCUGAAGAUUUGUGUCAGGAAAGAUUUGAUCAUACCUAGUAAAAUUGGGGAGUUGCAGCAAUUGGAGACAAUAGAAAUUAAAGGGCGAACAUUUCUUCCAUCAGAUAUUGUUACUUUGCCUCGGUUGUCACAUCUCAGUUAUUCAAAUCAUGUGUUGUUGCCUGACGAAAUCGGAAGGUUGAAAUCUCUUCACACCUUGCGAGGUGUUGAUUUCAUUCAAAGCUCGGUAGAAAAUAUCAAGGGCCUUGGUGAGCUGACAAACUUAAGGGAACUUGAGAUGGCUUGGAAAUUUGUUAAGGGAGCGGUCAACAUGCGUGUUGAUGCCUUGUGCUCUUCCAUUGGAAAGCUUUCUUGCAGUCUCAGGAGCCUUAGUAUUGGGUCCAAAUGCCUUCAAGACCUAUGGGUCGAUGGCUGGAGCAGCACACUAACCCCACCUCGUCGUCUUCAUAAGCUUGAUCUGUAUAGAUGUGAAUUCCAAAAAAUCCCCCAAUGGAUUGCUCAGCUCCACGAGCUUGACAGUUUAACUCUUUCCGUCAGGGAGGCUGCUGAUGGUGUCAGUAUUGUUGCAGGGUUGCCUUCCCUUGCCUACCUAAGACUAUAUAUACGUUCGGUUGACAAAAGGGAAGAAAGGGUAAUCAUCUCCGGCAGGGAAUUCAGAGCACUCAAGCACAUGAAUUUGGAAUGUCCAUAUCUGUCGCUGGUCUUCCAAGUGGGGGCUCUGCCCAAGCUAGAGACGCUUUUGAUGCGAUGCCGUUACCACAUUUCUGCCGAAUUCGUACCGGUUGGCAUUGAGAACUUGCCAUCUGGCACUCUUCGUGAGAUUCGUUUAGUGGUGGCUGAUUGUUUUGGAGGUCAUGGUGACGACGAUAACGGCGACUACAAUGACAAAGCAGCUGUGAGGUCGCAGUUGAUGAGAUCAUUUUGGCCACAUCAUCCUUCUGCUAACAUCACCAUUGAAUUUCUUUCGGAGUUUAGGUUGUGA